GACGAACGCUGGCGGCGUGCCUAAUACAUGCAAGUCGAACGAGAGCGACCGGUGCUUGCACUGGUCAAUCUAGUGGCGAACGGGUGAGUAACACGUGGGUAACCUGCCCAUCAGAGGGGGAUAACAUUCGGAAACGGAUGCUAAAACCGCAUAGGUCUUCGAACCGCAUGGUUUGAAGAGGAAAAGAGGCGCAAGCUUCUGCUGAUGGAUGGACCCGCGGUGCAUUAGCUAGUUGGUGAGGUAACGGCUCACCAAGGCCGUGAUGCAUAGCCGACCUGAGAGGGUGAUCGGCCACAUUGGGACUGAGACACGGCCCAAACUCCUACGGGAGGCAGCAGUAGGGAAUCUUCCGCAAUGGACGCAAGUCUGACGGAGCAACGCCGCGUGAGUGAAGAAGGUUUUCGGAUCGUAAAACCCUGUUGUUAGAGAAGAACAAGUGCUAGAGUAACUGUUAGCGC
RNAcentral lists this ribosomal RNA (458 nucleotides) under Granulicatella adiacens. RNAcentral's name for it is "bacterial SSU rRNA". It matches the Rfam family "Bacterial small subunit ribosomal RNA", at positions 28 to 475 of the family's 1533-position model. The record is from RNAcentral. Lineage: Bacteria; Bacillati; Bacillota; Bacilli; Lactobacillales; Carnobacteriaceae.